UAGUCCACGCCGUAAACGAUGGUCACUAGCUGUUCGAACUUCGGUUUGAGUGGCUAAGAGAAAUUGAUAAGUGACCCACCUGGGGAGUACGUUCGCAAGAAUGAAACUCAAAGGAAUUGACGGGGGCCCGCACAAGCGGUGGAGCAUGUGGUUUAAUUCGAUGAUACGCGAGGAACCUUACCAGGGCUUAAAUGUAGAUUGACAGGUUUAGAGAUAGACUUUUCUUCGGACAAUUUACAAGGUGCUGCAUGGUUGUCGUCAGCUCGUGCCGUGAGGUGUCAGGUUAAGUCCUAUAACGAGCGCAACCCCUGUUGUUAGUUGCCAGCGAGUAAUGUCGGGAACUCUAACAAGACUGCCGGUGCAAACCGUGAGGAAGGUGGGGAUGACGUCAAAUCAUCACGGCCCUUACGUCCUGGGCUACGACACGUGUUACAAUGGACGGUACAAAGGGCAGCUACCUGGUGACAGGAUGCUAAUCUCUAAAGCCGUUCUCAGUUCGGAUCGAAGUCUGCAACCCGACUUCG
Molecule: ribosomal RNA, 524 nt
Filed under: uncultured bacterium
Lineage: Bacteria
Description: bacterial SSU rRNA
Rfam family: Bacterial small subunit ribosomal RNA
Source: RNAcentral